UCUCAAAUGUUGCCACGUGUGUCCAGACAGUGAGGAGGCUGAUGCAGGAGCACCCUGAGUUGCAGGCCAACCUAGACAACAUAGUGAGAUUCUGUCUCGAGUACGACUGAAGUGUUCGCCUGCAUGUGCUGCCCAGCGAGAUCCAGGAAACACACCCCUCCUCAGAUGUGUCGUGGAGGACUGGGACUCUUUUCCUCACCCUGAAAGAGCAGGGAACUGAAGGAAUUACCAUUGUAUUUACUUCUGCCAUUUAUAUUCAUUUAGUUACUCAUCUGUGUGUGUGUGUGUGUGUGUGUGUGUGUGUGUGUGUGUUCGUGCACACGUGCGCGCUCAUGCCUGCACACGCAUGUGAGUGCCACUGCGCAUGUGUGGGGGCCCAGGGACAACCUGAGGGAGGUGGCUCUCUCCACGUUGGCUUUGCCAGCGCAGGUCUCCAGGCUUGGCAGCUGUGGCUUCCCCUGCUGAGCCGGCUUCCCCUGCUGAGCCGUCCAUUUGUUUCUGGGCGAUUAAGAUGGCUGAGUGUGUGGAACCCGCUCACAUCUCUGGCUGAAUUUUGUUGUUCGUGUGUGUUCUAUCCUGAAUACCUCUGUGAAGUGGAUCAUUCAUUAACCAUUCAAAACAAGUCAAUUAUUUAAAAAA
RNAcentral lists this long non-coding RNA (639 nucleotides) under Rattus norvegicus (Norway rat). RNAcentral describes it as "long non-coding RNA NONRATT019971". Lineage: Eukaryota; Metazoa; Chordata; Mammalia; Rodentia; Muridae. The record is from RNAcentral.